CCAAAACCCAAAAAAAAAAUCGUAAUUUGAAGAUGCCGCAAAAUAUAUGAUGGGGUGGUCUAUACUUAGGGUUCAUGCUCGCCUCUCUAAAUCCCUUGCAAUACCCUCCUCAGUCCUUCCCCCUCCUCUCACAGUCUUCCUCUUUUUCUCUCAAGAAAAGGUAAAAAUUUGAGGCUUGAGAAAUGUUGGUUUUAUUUGAAACUCCUGCGGGUUUUGCCCUGUUUAAAGUAUUAGAUGAAGGAAAGCUUUCUCAAAUUGAGGAUUUGUGGAAAGAGUUCACUUCUGUUGAUUUAGCCAGAAAGGUCAUAACUUGUUCUGUUUCUUUUUUUGUGAUAUAUUAUUUAGAUUAUUGCAAAUUUGGAAUAAUGGUUUUGUGGUUUUUUUUGGGGGUAUAUGUGAAAGUUGGUUAAAGAUAGAUGUGUUAGACAAUUAUUCCUGCGAUUCAAAAGUUUAAUUUCUAUAUCUGAACCUUUGUGUAUUUAAUAUUUUUGAUGAGAAGUGAGGAGAGCAGGGGUUUGAGAUGGAACUCGUUAGUCAACAUGCUUAUACAGAAAUGAAAAUAUUGAUGGAUGCAUAAUACUAUAUAUCUUCAAUAAUUUCAUCCACUAUGAUCCAGGCAUUUGCCUGGUUUAACUAAUAUGUUUUUCGAUAUUUGUUCAGACCAGGCAUUUGUUUCAGAUUUAUUUAGUUAUUCAUAUAAUUUUUGUUAAUAAUUAUUUUUUUUCUAGUUAAUUUCAUUAAUUUUUUUGUUUUUGUUGAUUUGCAGGGUUAUGAGAUUUGCGUUUGAGUUCCAGAUUUGAAGUUGGUUUCGAUCCAGAUGCCAGAUUUAAAGUCCGUUUUGGUUCCAGAUUUUUGUUAUGGAGUUUAAAGUGUACAUGUAACUAUAUGAGAUUUGUAUUAGAUUUUGUUCUAAGUAUACUAGAAUUUAGUUCUAGAAUAUUUUUUCACUUGUAAUUACAUUUAUUAUCAAUAAUAAUUGAAUUAAUUAAUUUGUUUGCCUUAAUAAAAAAAGUAUUGUAUUUGCAUCAUUCCAUAUCUUAUUACAUUUAAAAUCAAUUAAUUAAAAGCAAAAAACUAUUACAUUUAAUACUGGUUAACCAAAAGCAAAAAAAAAAAAAAAGUGCAAAUGCGUACCAAAAACGAAAAAGAAAGCACAAAUGCGUAUUUGAGAAAACGGUCGCUAAUUAGCGACGGCCAAGGCUAAUUAGCGACUGCUUCUGGCAGUCGCUAAUUAGCGACUGCUAGCGCGCGGUCGCUAAUUAGCGUCAGCAGCUCCAAACGGUCGCUAAUUCGCGACUGCGUAAAAAACGGUCGCUAAAUUCGAAAUAUCAGAUGCUAAUUUUUUAGCGUCCGAUU
Beta vulgaris subsp. vulgaris (sugar beet) is the source of this 1356-nucleotide long non-coding RNA. RefSeq lists it as uncharacterized. NCBI's taxonomy places the organism in Eukaryota, Viridiplantae, Streptophyta, Magnoliopsida, Caryophyllales, Amaranthaceae. The transcript is spliced from 3 exons. The record is from RefSeq and is a predicted model, not a curated record.